Molecule: ribosomal RNA, 524 nt
Filed under: uncultured bacterium
Lineage: Bacteria
Description: partial 16S ribosomal RNA
Rfam family: Bacterial small subunit ribosomal RNA
Source: RNAcentral
GACGAACGCUGGCGGCGUGCCUAAUACAUGCAAGUCGAACGAAGCUGUUUUAACUGGUGCUUGCACCGACUUAAACAACUGAGUGGCGAACGGGUGAGUAACACGUGGGUAACCUGCCCCAAAGCGGGGGAUAACAUUUGGAAACAGAUGCUAAUACCGCAUAACCACAGAAACCACAUGGUUUCUGUGUCAAAGAUGGUUUCGGCUAUCACUUUGGGAUGGACCCGCGGCGUAUUAGCUAGUUGGUAAGGUAAUGGCUUACCAAGGCAAUGAUACGUAGCCGAACUGAGAGGUUGAGCGGCCACAUUGGGACUGAGACACGGCCCAAACUCCUACUGGAGGCAGCAGGAGGGAAGCUUCCACAAUGGACGAAAGUCUGAUGGAGCAACGCCGCGUGAGUGAAGAAGGUUUUCGGAUCGUAAAACUCUGUUGUCAGAGAAGAACGUGUGCGAGAGUAACUGCUCGUGCAGUGACGGUAUCUGGCCAGAAAGCCACGGCUAACUACGUGCCAGCAGCCGCGGUAA